Molecule: long non-coding RNA, 4069 nt
Organism: Cydia pomonella (codling moth)
Lineage: Eukaryota; Metazoa; Arthropoda; Insecta; Lepidoptera; Tortricidae
Exons: 2
Source: RefSeq, a predicted model, not a curated record
CGCUGCACAAAUUUCUUCAAUGAUGUAUAAUAACUAAGUAGUAGGCGUUAUCAUGAAGCCUUCGACCAUGAAAUUCAGAGUAAAAGUUAAAAUUUCUGAACGCAACGGCCACGUUCCCGCGAACAGAACUGUCAACUUCAUUGUGUUUAUUCAUGUAAGCCGACGACCAUUAGGGCAUAAUAAAAUAAAACGUUUUUAACUGAAAAUAACAGUAAACAUUUUAUAAGAAUGCGAAAAAAUAAAGAAAAUAGUGUUAACAGUGACGAAUUGCAAAAUUGGAGGGAAAAAACCAGAAGAUCGGAGAAGAAAAUGCAACUUUCGCGAUCAAGGUCAAUUGCGGCGUCCUUUCCUCGAUAGCAUAGCUACACGGACGUGAUAAAUAUCAAGAUAAAAAUGUAGCAGACCAUGGAUGUACCUACAUUAAUAGUGCCAGCGAACGAAUGUUUAAUGCAUACAUCACUAAAAUUCCGAAAAGGAACAUAAACGUCGGCAAGUGAAGAAUGAAGCGAGUUAAUUUUGACCUUGUUGGAAGGAGGCACCGCGCCAGAAGGUUGAAUAUGGGAAUAAUCCUUCUAGGACAAUCUUGUUGUUUGCUUGCAGAUAUAUAAUUACGAACAUUACAAAACAACAAUGACCCGGACAAGAUUAUGAAAAAAUACUCUGCCUUGUUAAAUUACUGGUGCUCUGAAGAUGAACCCAGAGACUCAAGCUGCGGCUGGUGAGACGUUUGUCAGUUGGGAACAAGGCUAGGUAUUGAAAUGAAACAAAAUAAAGUUUCCUGUGACCUGUUCCCUCACUGUGAUGAUUUAGCACUCAAUAAUUUGUCUGCUGUAACCAGCUAUGAAAAAGUAAUGUCACUCUUAAGUGACCACUGGUUUUUUGUGUGAUUAUUAUCACUGAGAAUCUUACCUACGGCAGCUGUUCAAUUAUUAAAUCACAAUCAAUGGCAUAAGAGGUUUUUAAAUCAUUUACUUAAACAUGCUGUUGACAAGUGGUGUUUUAAGAAAGUUUAGCAGAAGUACUAAUGACUUAUAAAUUAAUGUAAGUCCUAAAGCCCGGUACUUUAAACUUUGAGGGCUCAACUAUCAAUAAUUUUUUUAAUGUAUGUUUUGCUGUUGCUUUUCUUUGUUAUCAUAUAAUAAAGUAUUUAUUACUUAUUUACUAACAACAUACAAAAACCCUGGUCAAAAGCAGCAAUAAGGAAGCGGAGCAACACUUUCCCCUCUGCGUCACAAUGUGGUCGCACUCAGCGACACCACAACAGCCUGUGUUCAUUUAGAACAAAUUUUUGAAGGUUGUGGUUAACUUAAAUACACUUUUUUUUCAGUGCAAUGACAUCAUAUUUACAAGGACCCAAGGAUUUUGUCCUGGUUAAUCAUACAAAAUUCCCUUGUGAUCUGUGCCAAUACCUACAUUAAUUCUGAAAAAUUAUUACUAUUGAGCAAUCGACAGUCAAUACUAGGAAGUUAUGUGACUGUGAUAUAUACUGUGUGUACAAAAUAUAUGCCUAUGAUGUUCUUACACAAGAAUAUACACUUUACACAGCUUAAUAUUCAACUAAAAUAUUUUAUGUACAAAACCCUAAGGGAAGUAAAUACAGUUAUAUUUUUAAUAUAAGUAAAUUGAUUGCAACUAAGCAGUUUAAGUUAACAAAGCAUUGGAAUUGCCAUGAAACUAAUUGUUGCAUGAACACUUUUUACUUGAUUUUAUGAGUGUAGAAAAUAUCUCUGAUUCAUGUGGAAAGCUGAGAUAACAGUUUUAAGUCCUGUCAUUAGACUAUUUGACUAUAUGUCUCUCUAGCUAUGUGUCAGACCUUUCAUGAAGUGUCCAAGAUCUAGAGGUCACACAAUGAGCAGCUGUUUAGAUGUUAUAUCUAUUGUCCUUAUGAUAAAUGUUUUUUAGACUAUACAAGAUGCACUCUAUUAUUCUUGAUACCAUAUGGAGCUAGGUAUAAUCAAAUUAAACUAGCUCCUUAGUACCUUGGAAAGCUGUCUAAUAUCUGGAUUUAUUUCUUUACCCAAUAAGAAAUAAUGUCAAUAUAUCACCUAGUGUGACUUAUUUUGGUGGCUAAUUGAAAGUAAAGGGUUAUAAAUAUACUUUUUGAAGAUACCUAUUUAUUUACUAUACAGUAAUAGUUUAUUGACCUGCUGGGGCAACCGUGUGGAAAUGAGUUAUCUGUGGGAUUAUGGAAGGAGCCUAUUAAUAGAAUACAUUACAUUAAUUUUAUUCAGCUUAAUGGUGGUCUUUAUAUUUAAAGACGUUUCUUUCCGAUUUACCAGACUGUGACAUACUUCUGAGAAAAUACAACACAGCUAUCUCAAUUAUAAACCGCUUUGGUGAACUGAAAUACUACUGUACAGUAUUUUUACCUCAAAACAAUGUUGAGGAACAAUUGGCAUUGGUGUGAAACGAGACAUUACAAUAUUAGUCUUAAAUAUUAUAGGUGAACUGUGUCAUAGCUGAUUGAGAGAUAACUAUAUAAGAUUUCGGAGAUUAAACGUAAAUUAAACAAUGAAUAUUUAGAAAUUUCCUGCAUCAUUUUGGAACUCAUAUACCGAGUUAUUGGAGUCGCGCAGAUGAAAUAUGUGAACGCUAUAUAUAUCCUGGUGUAGUAACCCAGAUAUUUUUUCUACAUAUGUAGAUGCUUGCAGAUUUUCUUUGAUGAAUUAUUUUAUCUAUGCUUUCCUUCCAUUCGAAAUGAAAUUUAAGGUACCUAUUAAAGUUUUAGGUAAAGCAGAAGACAUGGCAAUAACCAUAUUGUACACAGUUUUUACAAAUACAUGUUACAUACAAUUGUAUAGACUUGAGCCCCAGCUCACAUUUAUAAAAACUUAUUCCAUUAACCGGCAGUUUCAGUAGUGUCCUUGCCUGGUUACCCCGGUAUUAUCCGGGAAGUUCCAUCACUGAAGGAGCGGAAAAGAGAAGGGGAAAGGAGGAACUUUCGAUUGGUGCGGCCAACAGCAUGGUGGGGUGGAGUCUCUUAUGCCCAACACCGUCAAGCAGUAUCGUAAACACUUGAAACACUGGUGUAUGUUUUGUGGAAAUAAUUACAUUAAUGAUCUUAUCGCAUCUGUUCUAGCAAUGUUUGCCAUUCUGAUAGCAUUAUGUGAUGAGGGAUCGAGGUAUGGAAGUGUCCAUUUUUCUAAAUCUGCUCAUGUGCUUUUAUUGGGAUAUAGACGACUCCUCAAAUGAUGAGUGAAACGCUUUAUGAAGAACGUUUUGUUUCGAUUACACCCACCUCAACCUUAAAGUGUGACCUGGGACCCUUAAUCAGUCUCAAAUUAUUUAUCAACAAUGCCACCAAUGAAAAUCUUUCAUUACAGAAUUAAGAGAAAGUUAUGAAAUUGCUUAGGUACUUACCUUAUUUGCUAUUGUUACUGCACGCAGCGUGCAAACCCUGUCCUUGAUAAAAUAUGUAAUUUUUACUAUUAUUCUGAUUUUCUGAUAAAGUCCUUACAAAAAUUUCAGCUACCUUUGCUAUCCGUAGCAUUUUUCAAGGAAAAACUAAUUUGAAAUGGAAUGAGGCUUGCUCAGGGCGAAUAUAUUUUAGCUAUAUAUAAAAAUAACGAAUGGUAUUCGUGAUGGUAGUUGUUAGUAAUUAUUUAUUGCCCUCAAAAACCUCAUAUGAUCAUCACUUCCCAAACGAUUUGUUCUUGAUUAAGUCAACUUUUAAAGAUAGUGGUAUUGAUAUUUUUGUUUUCACCACCCAUUCAACCUAUUAUGCGUUGGUUUCAGCCAAAAUCAUUUAGGAGUAAUAUUGAUGGAAAGAAAAACAUCAAGUCCGAGUCUAAUGAUUUUGCUCAUUUCAUAAUAAGGCCAUAGUGCCAUCCAAUGAUUGUGCUUGAUCCUUAGUUAAGGAGAAAAUAAGUAUUACUAAAGGUUGUAAGUAGCAACACACCGUUCUGUUAAAUGGUAUUAAUGAAAUACCUAUUAAUAAGGAACAAUUCAUUUUUUGUUUCAACUAUUGUUGAGGAUGCCUAAGCAGGUCUUCAAGGAAGACUUCUUAUUAAAACUUUUGUACUUGUAUUUAUUUAUAUAAUAAAUAAAUAAGGAUCAAAUUACAGUACAA